RNAcentral lists this ribosomal RNA (497 nucleotides) under uncultured bacterium. RNAcentral describes it as "partial 16S ribosomal RNA". It matches the Rfam family "Bacterial small subunit ribosomal RNA", at positions 28 to 507 of the family's 1533-position model. The record is from RNAcentral.
GAUGAACGCUGGCGGCGUGCCUAAUACAUGCAAGUCGAGCGAACAGACGAGGAGCUUGCUCCUCUGACGUUAGCGGCGGACGGGUGAGUAACACGUGGAUAACCUACCUAUAAGACUGGGAUAACUUCGGGAAACCGGAGCUAAUACCGGAUAAUAUAUUGAACCGCAUGGUUCAAUAGUGAAAGACGGUUUUGCUGUCACUUAUAGAUGGAUCCGCGCCGCAUUAGCUAGUUGGUAAGGUAACGGCUUACCAAGGCAACGAUGCGUAGCCGACCUGAGAGGGUGAUCGGGCACACUGGAACUGAGCCACGGUCCAGACUCCUACGGGAGGCAGCAGUAGGGAAUCGUCCGCAAUGGGCGAAAGCCUGACGGAGCAACGCCGCGCGAGUGAUGAAGGUCUUCGGAUCGUAAAACUCUGUUAUUAGGGAAGAACAAAUGUGUAAGUAACUAUGCACGUCUUGACGGUACCUAAUCAGAAAGCCACGGCUAACUACGUG